RNAcentral lists this ribosomal RNA (500 nucleotides) under uncultured bacterium. Its description in RNAcentral is "partial 16S ribosomal RNA". It matches the Rfam family "Bacterial small subunit ribosomal RNA", at positions 30 to 523 of the family's 1533-position model. The record is from RNAcentral.
AUUGAACGCUGGCGGCAGGCCUAACACAUGCAAGUCGAGCGGAUGAGAGGAGCUUGCUCCUCGAUUCAGCGGCGGACGGGUGAGUAAUGCCUAGGAAUCUGCCUAGUAGUGGGGGACAACGUUUCGAAAGGAACGCUAAUACCGCAUACGUCCUACGGGAGAAAGUGGGGGAUCUUCGGACCUCACGCUAUUAGAUGAGCCUAGGUCGGAUUAGCUAGUUGGUAGGGUAACGGCCUACCAAGGCGACGAUCCGUAACUGGUCUGAGAGGAUGAUCAGUCACACUGGAACUGAGACACGGGCCAGACUCCGACGGGAGGCAGCAGUGGGGAAUAUUGGACAAUGGGCGAAAGCCUGAUCCAGCCAUGCCGCGUGUGUGAAGAAGGCCCUCGGGUCGUAAAGCACUUUAAGUUGGGAGGAAGGGCUUACAGCGAAUACCUGUGAGUUUUGACGUUACCGACAGAAUAAGCACCGGCUAACUUCGUGCCAGCAGCCGCGGUAA